This 234-nucleotide ribosomal RNA is filed under the name uncultured bacterium. RNAcentral describes it as "partial 16S ribosomal RNA". It matches the Rfam family "Bacterial small subunit ribosomal RNA", at positions 794 to 1025 of the family's 1533-position model. The record is from RNAcentral.
UCCUAGCCGUAAACGUUGAACACUAGGUGUGGGGAGUAUCGACCCUCUCUGUGCCGUAGCUAACGCAUUAAGUGUUCCGCCUGGGGAGUACGGCCGCAAGGUUGAAACUCAAAGGAAUUGACGGGGGCCCGCACAAGCGGUGGAGUAUGUGGUUCAAUUCGACGCAACGCGAAGAACCUUACCAGGGCUUGAAGUGUAGGGUAAAGCCUGAGAAAUCAGGUGUGCUCCUCUGGG